GACGAACGCUGGCGGCGUGCUUAACACAUGCAAGUCGAACGAGUGGCGAACGGGUGAGUAACGCGUGGGUGAUCUGCCUUGCACUUCGGGAUAAGCUUGGGAAACUGGGUCUAAUACCGGAUAGUGCGAGAUGGGCUCGCGGCCUAUCAGCUUGUGGGUGGGGUAAUGGCUACCAAGGCGCGACGGGUAGCCGGCCUGAGGGGGUGUACGGAAACAUUGGGACUGGGAUAGAGCCCAGGACCGUACGGGAGGGAGAGGUGGGGAAUAGUGAACAAUGGGAGGACGGGUGAUGCAGCGACGCCGCGUGGGGGAGAAAGGCCUGCGGGUUGUAAACUCAUAUCGACAGGAAAGCGGGACCUGUAUAAGAAGCACCGGCUAACUACGUGCCAGCAGCCGCGGUAAUAC
RNAcentral lists this ribosomal RNA (405 nucleotides) under uncultured bacterium. Its description in RNAcentral is "partial 16S ribosomal RNA". It matches the Rfam family "Bacterial small subunit ribosomal RNA", at positions 28 to 526 of the family's 1533-position model. The record is from RNAcentral.